This 457-nucleotide ribosomal RNA is filed under the name uncultured bacterium. RNAcentral's name for it is "bacterial SSU rRNA". It matches the Rfam family "Bacterial small subunit ribosomal RNA", at positions 28 to 469 of the family's 1533-position model. The record is from RNAcentral.
GAUGAACGCUAGCUACAGGCUUAACACAUGCAAGUCGAGGGGAAACGAUAGAGAAAGCUUGCUUUUUCUAGGCGUCGACCGGCGCACGGGUGAGUAACGCGUAUCCAACCUGCCCAUCACUUGGGGAUAACCUUGCGAAAGUAAGACUAAUACCCAAUGACGUCUCUAGAAGACAUCUGAAGGAGAUUAAAGAUUUAUCGGUGAUGGAUGGGGAUGCGUCUGAUUAGCUUGUUGGCGGGGUAACGGCCCACCAAGGCGACGAUCAGUAGGGGUUCUGAGAGGAAGGCCCCCCCACAUUGGAACUGAGACACGGUCCAAACUCCUACGGGAGGCAGCAGUGAGGAAUAUUGGGUCAAUGGACGAGAGUCUGAACCAGCCAAGUAGCGUGCAGGAUGACGGCCCUAUGGGUUGUUAAAACUUCUUUUAUACGGGAAUAAAGUUAGCACGUGUGGCUAAC